CACAAGCGGUGGAGCAUGUGGUUUAAUUCGAUGCAACGCGAAGAACCUUACCUGGGCUUGACAUCCCUGGAAUCCCCUGGAAACAGGGGAGUGCCCUUCGGGGAGCCAGGAGACAGGUGCUGCAUGGCUGUCGUCAGCUCGUGUCGUGAGAUGUUGGGUUAAGUCCCGCAACGAGCGCAACCCUUGUCUUUAAUUGCCAUCAUUCAGUUGGGCACUUUAAAGAGACUGCCGGUGUUAAACCGGAGGAAGGUGGGGAUGACGUCAAGUCCUCAUGGCCCUUAUAGGUGGGGCUACACACGUCAUACAAUGGAUGGUACAAAGGGUCGCCAACCCGCGAGGGGGAGCCAAUCCCAUAAAGCCAUUCGUAGUCCGGAUCGCAGUCUGCAACUCGACUGCGUGAAGUCGGAAUCGCUAGUAAUCGUGGAUCAGGAUGUCACGGUGAAUACGUUCCCGGGUCUU
RNAcentral lists this ribosomal RNA (459 nucleotides) under uncultured Smithella sp. RNAcentral describes it as "bacterial SSU rRNA". It matches the Rfam family "Bacterial small subunit ribosomal RNA", at positions 924 to 1382 of the family's 1533-position model. The record is from RNAcentral. Lineage: Bacteria; Pseudomonadati; Thermodesulfobacteriota; Syntrophia; Syntrophales; Smithellaceae.